UACGGGGGGGGCAAGCGUUGUUCGGAAUUACUGGGCGUAAAGGGUUUGUAGGUGGUCUGCUAAGUCAGACGUGAAAUCCCUCAGCUUAACUGGGGAACUGCGUCUGAUACUGGCGGACUUGAGGACAGGAGAGGAACGCGGAAUUCCAGGUGUAGCGGUGAAAUGCGUAGAUAUCUGGAGGAACACCGGUGGCGAAGGCGGCGUUCUGGACUGUUUCUGACACUGAAAAACGAAAGCCAGGGGAGCAAACGGG
Molecule: ribosomal RNA, 253 nt
Filed under: uncultured bacterium
Lineage: Bacteria
Description: partial 16S ribosomal RNA
Rfam family: Bacterial small subunit ribosomal RNA
Source: RNAcentral